AGCAGUUUGGAAUUUUGGACAAUGGGCGAAAGCCUGAUCCAGCGACGCCGCGUGGACGAAGACGGCCUUCGGGUUGUAAAGUCCUUUUAGCAGGGAACAAUUUUUGAGCGUACCUGCAGAAUAAGAGGUUGCUAACUCUGUGCCAGCAGCAGCGGUAAUACAGAGACCUCAAGCGUUAUCCGGAAUCAUUGGGCGUAAAGCGUACCGAUAGGUGGUUAUACAAGUCAGAAGUGAAAUCUCCGAGCUCAACUCGGAAUCUGUCUUUUGAAACUGUAUGACUAGAGGGGCAAAGAGGAAGCUGGAACGAACGGUGUAGUAGUGAAAUGCGUUGAUAUCGUUCGGAACACCAAUAGCGAAGGCGGGCUUCUGGGUGCCACCUGACACUGCUAGGACGAAAGCGUGGGGAGCGAAUGGGAUUAGAUACCCCAGUAGUCCACGCUGUAAACGAUGUACAUUCGGCGCUAGAGAGUAUCGACCCUCUUUAGUGCCAAAGCUAACGCGUUAAAUGUACCGCCUGGGGAGUACGGCCGCAAGGCUAAAACUCAAAGGAAUUGACGGGGACCCGCACAAGCGGUGGAGCAUGUGGUUUAAUUCGACGAUAAGCGGGGAACCUUACCAGGUCUUGACAUGCAGCUGCACAUUCUAUGAAAGUAGAACUUCUUCGAGAGUGCUGCACAGGUGCUGCACGGUUGUCGUCAGCUCGUGCCGUGAGGUGUUCACUUAAGUGUGAAAACGAGCGCAACCCCUAUCGUGUGUUACAAGUGUCACACGAAACUGCCGGCGUCUAAGCCGGAGGAAGGCGGGGAUGACGUCAAAUCAGCGUGGCUCUUACGACCUGGGCCACACACGUGCUACAAUGGGAAAGUACAAAGGGACGCCAAGGAGCAAUCCGGAGCAAAUCCUAUUAAAAUUUCUCUCAGUUCGGAUUGAGGGCUGCAACUCGCCCUCAUGAAGCUGGAAUCGCUAGUAACCGUAGAUCAGCCUCGCUACGGUGAAUACGUUCUCGGGUU
Molecule: ribosomal RNA, 1010 nt
Filed under: uncultured bacterium
Lineage: Bacteria
Description: bacterial SSU rRNA
Rfam family: Bacterial small subunit ribosomal RNA
Source: RNAcentral